Molecule: ribosomal RNA, 460 nt
Filed under: uncultured bacterium
Lineage: Bacteria
Description: partial 16S ribosomal RNA
Rfam family: Bacterial small subunit ribosomal RNA
Source: RNAcentral
CCUACGGGGGGCAGCAGUGAGGAAUAUUGGUCAAUGGACGAGAGUCUGAACCAGCCAAGUAGCGUGAAGGAUGACUGCCCUAUGGGUUGUAAACUUCUUUUAUAUGGGAGUAAAAUGUUCCACGUGUGGGAUUUUGUAUGUACCAUAUGAAUAAGGAUCGGCUAACUCCGUGCCAGCAGCCGCGGUAAUACGGAGGAUCCGAGCGUUAUCCGGAUUUAUUGGGUUUAAAGGGGGCGUAGGUGGAUUGUUAAGUCAGUUGUGAAAGUUUGCGGCUCAACCGUAAAAUUGCAGUUGAAACUGGCAGUCUUGAGUACAGUAGAGGUAGGCGGAAUUCGUGGUGUAGCGGUGAAAUGCUUAGAUAUCACGAAGAACUCCGAUCGCGAAGGCAGUUCACUGGACUGCAACUGACACUGAGGCUCGAAAGUGUGGGUAUCAAACAGGAUUAGAUACCCUUGUAGUC